ACUCUGGUAUUGAUUGGUGCUUGCAUCAUGAUUUACAUUUGAGUUGAGUUGGCGAACUUGGUGAGUAACACGUGGGAAACCUUGCCCAGAAGCGGGGGAUAACACCUGGAAACAGAUGCUAAUACCGCAUAACAACUUGGACCGCAUGGUCCGAGUUUGAAAGAUGGCUUCGGCUAUCACUUUUGGAUGGUCCCGCGGCGUAUUAGCUAGAUGGUGGGGUAACGGCUCACCAUGGCAAUGAUACGUAGCCGACCUGAGAGGGUAAUCGGCCACAUUGGGACUGAGACACGGCCCAAACUCCUACGGGAGGCAGCAGUAGGGAAUCUUCCACAAUGGACGAAAGUCUGAUGGAGCAACGCCGCGUGAGUGAAGAAGGGUUUCGGCUCGUAAAACUCUGUUGUUAAAGAAGAACAUAUCUGAGAGUAACUGUUCAGGUAUUGACGGUAUUUAACCAGAAAGCCACGGCUAACUACGUGCCAGCAGCCGCGGUAAUACGUAGGUGGCAAGCGUUGUCCGGAUUUAUUGGGCGUAAAGCGAGCGCAGGCGGUUUUUUAAGUCUGAUGUGAAAGCCUUCGGCUCAACCGAAGAAGUGCAUCGGAAACUGGGGAAACUUGAGUGCAGAAGAGGACAGUGGAACUCCAUGUGUAGCGGUGAAAUGCGUAGAUAUAUGGAAGAACACCAGUGGCGAAAGCGGCUGUCUGGUCUGUAACUGACGCU
Molecule: ribosomal RNA, 717 nt
Filed under: Lactiplantibacillus plantarum
Lineage: Bacteria; Bacillati; Bacillota; Bacilli; Lactobacillales; Lactobacillaceae
Description: bacterial SSU rRNA
Rfam family: Bacterial small subunit ribosomal RNA
Source: RNAcentral